CGGCGGAUGCCGAGGCGGGGAUGAGGGCCGCUGGCCCGCGAUCCUCCCAGCAAGGCUCCGGCCUCGGCCUGAGGCCCGAGAUCUCCGCCUUGUGGCGCCCAGACGACGUGUGCCACACCGGCGGGGCUCGGGCGGGGGCUUGGGAGUGGGGACGUGAGCCAGGGGCGCUCAAUUUGUCUUCUCUCCCCCCAACCCACUAGGUUGGAAAGGUUUUCUUUUGGGGAAAUUUCUUCUCCGCAGCCUCACACCCAGUCAGCGGACCCUCCCACCCAGGAGGAAUCUCCUCUGGUCCCAUCGGCGCGUCUUCGUGGAGUCGCCAAACACCAGACAGAGGUAGCGGGGUGGGUGUGGCAGCUGCCGUUUCCUGACUCCGCGCCUGCGCGGAAAGCCCUUUGAGGGAGUGCGGUGGUGACUUACUAGGGCUCCGCACUUCUCAGCCCGAGAUUGAAAAGUAACCUUGAGAGAGUCCCUCCCUUCAUUCCAGGGAAAGUUACUAGAGGAUGUGCUCCAACAAAACAUGAGAGCAAGACAAGAAAGAGAAAGACAUGGGAUCCAGAAAAAAGGACCAGGAGAAUGUGAAGGGAAAUGCCAGGGUGAAAGAUAUGUGGCAGAAUUAGAGAGCAAUCAUUUUCACUGGAGAAAAAAGAUGGCAGACUCCAAGAAGAAAGACUGGUUAGUGUAACUGAAUUUAUUUAGAUUACUAAUUUUGAGUAUUUGGGUAGUUAUAUUGAUAGAUGUUUGAUAGAUCUAAUGAAAUACAUGAUACAAUUUGAGAGAGAACUUAAAAAAUAUAAGCAAGUAAAAAAAGGAAGCAAUUAUUAAUUCCAUGAAAACUAAAAAUUUGACAAGAAUGGAAACAGUGUUUCUUCAACUGUUCUGUGGUGGUGAAAAUUUUAAGACUUUUUAGAGCUUCUGAAAUACUAGUAUAUUAUAAAUCUCAAAGGAGAGAACAUGCAGCAUAGAGCACUAUACAAUUUAUUUUUAUUUUUAAUUACAUUACUUUAAAAUUUUUAAAAAUUAGUAUUCACAUGGUUCAAAAUUUAAAAGUGUAACAGACAGAUAAUUCAAUAUAAAAGUAGGCAAAAGACCUAGAUACUUCACACAAGGCUAUAUCUAAAUAGCAAAUAGCAAAUGAAUGUGAAAAGGUGCUCAACAUCAUCAGUCAUUAGAGAAAUACAAGUUGAAACCACAGUGCAAUAUCACUACACAAAUACAAGAAUAACUAAAAUUAAAAAGACAGAAUAUAGCAAGUGUGGGUGAGGUUUUGUAACAAUUGGAAUUCUUGUACAUUGCUGGUGGGAGUGUCAAUUGGUACAAUCAGUUUUGCAAACUGUAUGGCAGUACUAUUAAAAUUGCAGAUAUGCAGAUCCUCAGCAAUUCCUUGCCUAGGUAUAUGGACAUGCAUAUGCAUAUACUAGAAUGUUCAUAGUAGUGCUAUUUAUAAUAGCUUCAAACUGGAAAUUACCCAAAUAUCCAUAAGUAGUAGAAUGGGUAAAUGAUUUGUGGCCCAUUUACACAGUGGAAUACUAAACAGCAAUGAUACUGAGCAGUGUACAAUAUUGAUGAAUUGCACAAAUACAAUACUGGAUGAAAAAGCUAGACACAGAAAAGUAUACAUUUUAUGAGUCAAUUCCUAUUAAGUACAAAAAUAAGCAAAACUAGCCUAUGCUUUUAGAAAUCAGGAUAAUGUCUACUCUUGUAGAGUGGUCAUAGUGACUAGAAGGGACAUGAGGCCUCUGGGAUGAUAGAAAUGUUCUGUUUCUUGAUCUAGGACCUAGACUCUUGGUGCCAGUUACAUGGGUAUGUUCAGUUAUGAAAAUUCUUUGAGGUUACA
Mesoplodon densirostris (Blainville's beaked whale) is the source of this 1834-nucleotide long non-coding RNA. RefSeq lists it as uncharacterized. The record is from RefSeq and is a predicted model, not a curated record. Lineage: Eukaryota; Metazoa; Chordata; Mammalia; Artiodactyla; Ziphiidae. The transcript is spliced from 3 exons.